AUUGGACGCUGGCGGCAUGCUUUACACAUGCAAGUCGGACGGCAGCACAGAGAAGCUUGCUUCUUGGGUGGCGAGUGGCGAACGGGUGAGUAACAUAUCGGAACGUACCGAGCAGUGGGGGAUAACUAAUCGAAAGAUUAGCUAAUACCGCAUAUUUUCUGAGGAAGAAAGCAGGGGACCUUUGGGCCUUGCGCUGUUUGAGCGGCCGAUAUCUGAUUAGCUAGGUGGUGGGGUAAAGGCCUACCAAGGCGACGAUCAGGAGCGGGUCUGAGAGGAUGAACCGCCACACUGGGACUGAGACACGGCCCAGACUCCUACGGGAGGCAGCAGUGGGGAAUUUUGGACAAUGGGCGCAAGCCUGAUCCAGCCAUGCCGCGUGUCUGAAGAAGGCCCUCGGGUUGUAAAGGACUUUUGUCAGGGAAGAAAAGGGCGGGGUUAAUACCCCUGUCUGAUGACGGUACCUGAAGAAUAAGCACCGGCUAACUACGUG
This 490-nucleotide ribosomal RNA is filed under the name uncultured bacterium. RNAcentral's name for it is "partial 16S ribosomal RNA". It matches the Rfam family "Bacterial small subunit ribosomal RNA", at positions 30 to 507 of the family's 1533-position model. The record is from RNAcentral.